Molecule: long non-coding RNA, 211 nt
Filed under: Gossypium barbadense (sea-island cotton)
Lineage: Eukaryota; Viridiplantae; Streptophyta; Magnoliopsida; Malvales; Malvaceae
Description: long non-coding RNA (GBAR_LNC020053)
Source: RNAcentral
UCUCUUCUAGGGUUUCAAGAUUCCUUAUUAACACUUAUUUCUAUUCUCUAUUUGAUUCUUUACUGUUUUGGGGAUUUUAUUUCAGAUCUGAAAAUUCAAAAAUCUAAUCUUUUAAUUUUCUGUUUCGUUUCAGAUCUAAUUGUUUAGGGUUUUCGUAGGAGUUUCUCGUGACUUGGCAACUCGAUCUUGGUCCGCGCGCAACACCGUAUCA